GACGAACGCUGGCGGCGUGCCUAACACAUGCAAGUCGAACGGAAAGGCCCUGCUUUUGUGGGGUGCUCGAGUGGCGAACGGGUGAGUAACACGUGAGUAACCUGCCCUUGACUUUGGGAUAACUUCAGGAAACUGGGGCUAAUACCGGAUAGGAGCUCCUGCUGCAUGGUGGGGGUUGGAAAGUUUCGGCGGUUGGGGAUGGACUCGCGGCUUAUCAGCUUGUUGGUGGGGUAGUGGCUUACCAAGGCUUUGACGGGUAGCCGGCCUGAGAGGGUGACCGGCCACAUUGGGACUGGGAUACGGCCCAGACUCCUACGGGGGGCAGCGGUGGGGAAUAUUGCACAAUGGGCGGAAGCCGGAUGCAGCAACGCCGCGUGCGGGAUGACGGCCUUCGGGUUGUAAACCGCUUUCGCCUGUGACGAAGCGUGAGUGACGGUAAUGGGUAAAGAAGCACCGGCUAACUACGU
This 467-nucleotide ribosomal RNA is filed under the name uncultured bacterium. Its description in RNAcentral is "partial 16S ribosomal RNA". It matches the Rfam family "Bacterial small subunit ribosomal RNA", at positions 28 to 506 of the family's 1533-position model. The record is from RNAcentral.